GCGGGCGUGGUGGAAUCGGUAGACACGCCGGCCUUAGGAGCCGGUGCCGCAAGGCAUGGGGGUUCAAGUCCCUCCGCCCGCA
This 82-nucleotide transfer RNA is filed under the name uncultured Solirubrobacteraceae bacterium. RNAcentral describes it as "tRNA-Leu-TAG". It matches the Rfam family "tRNA". Rfam says of the family: Transfer RNA (tRNA) molecules are approximately 80 nucleotides in length. Their secondary structure includes four short double-helical elements and three loops (D, anti-codon, and T loops). The record is from RNAcentral. Lineage: Bacteria; Bacillati; Actinomycetota; Thermoleophilia; Solirubrobacterales; Solirubrobacteraceae.